Molecule: ribosomal RNA, 353 nt
Filed under: uncultured bacterium
Lineage: Bacteria
Description: partial 16S ribosomal RNA
Rfam family: Bacterial small subunit ribosomal RNA
Source: RNAcentral
CCUACGGGAGGCUGCAGUGAGGAAUAUUGGUCAAUGGGCGAGAGCCUGAACCAGCCAAGUCGCGUGAGGGAGUACUGCCCUAUGGGUUGUAAACCUCUUUUGUCGGGGAGCAAAAGCCGGACGUGUCAGGCUGUGAGAGUACUCGUAGAAAAAGCAUCGGCUAACUCCGUGCCAGCAGCCGCGGUAAUACCGAGGCUGCGAGCGUUAUCCGGAUUUAUAGGGUUUAAAGGGUGCGGAGGCGGAUUUUUAAGUCAGCGGUCAAAUCGUGGGGUUCAACCCCAUCCAGCCGGUGAACCUGGGGAUCUAGAGGGGGCGAGAGGUAUGCGGAAUGCGUGGUGUAGCGGAGAAAGGCA